GAUGAACGCUAGCGAUAGGCUUAACACAUGCAAGUCGAGGGGCAGCAUGGUCUUAGCUUGCUAAGGCUGAUGGCGACCGGCGCACGGGUGCGUAACGCGUAUGCAACUUGCCUCACAGAGGGGGAUAACCCGUCGAAAGACGGACUAAUACCGCGUACACUCUAUGUUGGGCAUCCAAUGUAGAGGAAAUGAAAUUCGCUGUGAGAUAGGCAUGCGUCCCAUUAGCUAGUUGGUGAGGUAACGGCUCACCAAGGCGACGAUGGGUAGGGGAACUGAGAGGUUGAACCCCCACACUGGUACUGAGACACGGACCAGACUCCUACGGGAGGCAGCAGUGAGGAAUAUUGGUCAAUGGGCGAGAGCCUGAACCAGCCAAGUCGCGUGAAGGAUGACUGUCUUAUGGAUUGUAAACUUCUUUUAUACGGGAAUAACAAGAGUCACGUGUGGCUCCCUGCAUGUACCGAAUGAAUAAGCAUCGGCUAACUCCGUG
Molecule: ribosomal RNA, 490 nt
Filed under: uncultured bacterium
Lineage: Bacteria
Description: partial 16S ribosomal RNA
Rfam family: Bacterial small subunit ribosomal RNA
Source: RNAcentral